Molecule: long non-coding RNA, 203 nt
Filed under: Elaeis guineensis (African oil palm)
Lineage: Eukaryota; Viridiplantae; Streptophyta; Magnoliopsida; Arecales; Arecaceae
Description: long non-coding RNA (EGUI_LNC037141)
Source: RNAcentral
GGACACCAAGAGAUGGCAGUAAUGGUAAAAGGAGAUACAGAGUGUUCAGCCUUGGUGAUUGAAUUAGAAGGCAAGGGAACUGAUGCCUAUAUAAAGUAUUAGCUGAGGAAUGGCCAUUAAUGAAGAAUUUAAGAAAGACAUGAUAGCAUACGUCUUAGCAAGUCAUAUCAUCUACUGGUCUACAUUAGCUUUUAACCACUUGC